GGCACCAUCCACUCGGCUCUGGAGCCAUGCCCUGCCUGGCUGAACAGCCCUGGAAGCUGUCAUCACGAGUGUGUGUGCGUGCUGGGAAAAUGCAAUGUCUCGAGGUUCACAAAGCAUCAUGAACAGAUGAACAUUUGAGCUGUAGGAAGGAAGAGAGUUUGAGAAAGAAAAAAAACAUGCUUUAGUUUUGAGCAAUGAUUUGGACUUUGAGAACAGACUUCCUGAUCAACGAAAAGCACCAGGAGACUAAGAAAAGGGAUAAGGAAGUAAGGCAGACGACUGUGUUCAGGCCAUUAUUUCUUUAGAGCCCCAUGGAGGCGACCAGCGGGAAGGACCUGUCUGCUAGGCUGCUGAGCCAUGAGAUUCUUCACCGUCAGCCUCCACGAUGAG
Long non-coding RNA from Trichechus manatus latirostris (Florida manatee), 390 nucleotides. RefSeq lists it as uncharacterized. The transcript is spliced from 3 exons. The record is from RefSeq and is a predicted model, not a curated record. Lineage: Eukaryota; Metazoa; Chordata; Mammalia; Sirenia; Trichechidae.